GGUCCGCUGGCGUAAUGGUAGCGCGUCUGACUACGAAUCAGGAGGCUCCAGGUUCGAUCCCUGGGCGGAUCG
Molecule: transfer RNA, 72 nt
Filed under: Thermothielavioides terrestris NRRL 8126
Lineage: Eukaryota; Fungi; Ascomycota; Sordariomycetes; Sordariales; Chaetomiaceae
Description: tRNA-Arg (ACG) (tRNA-Arg-ACG-3-1)
Rfam family: tRNA
About the family: Transfer RNA (tRNA) molecules are approximately 80 nucleotides in length. Their secondary structure includes four short double-helical elements and three loops (D, anti-codon, and T loops). Further hydrogen bonds mediate the characteristic L-shaped molecular structure. tRNAs have two regions of fundamental functional importance: the anti-codon, which is responsible for specific mRNA codon recognition, and the 3' end, to which the tRNAs corresponding amino acid is attached (by aminoacyl-tRNA synthetases). tRNAs cope with the degeneracy of the genetic code in two manners: having more than one tRNA (with a specific anti-codon) for a particular amino acid; and 'wobble' base-pairing, i.e. permitting non-standard base-pairing at the 3rd anti-codon position.
Source: RNAcentral